GCCUGCAGGUGGGAUUCUAACUGUUACUUUGUGUCCAGAAGCCUGUGGGUCUGUGGCUUUUUCACUUGGCUGGCUGCAGUUUCAUGGCUCUGACCUCAGAUCUCUAGCUGUCUCACUAUCAGAGUCCCUUACUCCCCAACUGUGUCUUCUCUCUUGUCUGAGUGAGCUUUUUUAAGAUCUACUUUUUUUUUUUUUUUGGACUGACUGCCCGCCCCUGGCCUAAUAACCUCAGUGCUAACCCUAGAUGACUACUUCUCACUCAAGAUCCCGUAACAUUUCGAAGCUGGAAGAGAUGGAUCCAGAGCUUAGAGGAGCUGCCAGAACCCCAGAAGCUGCCAUCUCUCUUCAGAAGCACUCUGCAGAUGAAUUGCUGCCUUCCAGGAUUUUCUGCAGCCUGGGUGGACAAGGCAAUUCUGGAGAGUGCUCAGUCCACUCCAGCAUCUUGACCAGAGCCUUCCACUUUGUUGACUGGAUCCAGCUCAUCAAGGGCUGAGGAAGUCCUUCAGGCUGAGGAAGAUACAUAGAUGAACUAUCUGGAAAAGGAAAUGAGGAAGAAGAUUUGAGAUAAAUGGAUAGCUGGCACGAAGUUUCCAAUUCUCCAGAACCAAGGCCUGCCACCUCUUCAGAGAAAAGUUCAUUUUGGCUGGAGUUCAAGGGGUUAAAGUGGCAGGUGCAACACAUGGUCUCCUCUUUUGGGACCUACCCUGGGAAGACAUCUCUGCAGAGCUGAGUGAGGCUCCCUGCCCAGCUGCUGUCCUGGCCCGCAGGAUCUGGGAACACAUACCCAGAAACAACUCUUCAUCUAUGUGCCUGACCAUGGCUCCUCUGCCCUUCAAAACCUUACCUUCCUCACAUGCUUCCCAGAGAGUACAUGCUUCAAGAAAACCAAAGAAAGAAAAAAUUGCCCCAAGAGUUCUGGAAUUGGCCUCUGGCUACAAAGGGCACUGUGACUGGCUUAUGAAGUUACAUGAUUCUCUGAUGAAACUUUUUGUGACCUAGAGCAGCUACUUAUAGUAUAGUGUAUUCUCUCUGAGUUUAUAUCUGUGGGCUCCACAAAGGGUAUGUAUGCCAAAAGCCUGGGUACCAGUUACCCAGUAACUGAAUCUUCUCCCACUGGAAAAGUGAGGAACAGAGAAGGCAGACAAAUAGUCUAUGAGCUGGCCAAGUUUGUGUGCCCAUCAUCCUUUGGGUAAAAGGCCAAAGGAAUUAGGGACGUGUCCCAAGAAGUAUGGCUGUAGCCAUACCACAAAGUCAUAUAGCCUCUUGGUGCACAUCUUUGUGCAUCUCAAAGACCCAGUCAGUAUUACAUUGACUUAUUCACUCUGUUCCCAACAAGACUCCCUAAUACAGUGAAAGCAAGAACACACCUUCCUUAGCUACUGGCUUCAUUAUAGACCUGAGGCUUGACUUAGUAGUCAAGUAGUCACUUACUGGCCCAGAUCUUCUCUGGCCUUUCAUACAAGGUUCUCUGGCCUUGUUUGUCAUGGCAGGACUUGUGGGACUCACUUGGUGGUCAUGACUGUAGAUCGUGAUGCACAAUGCAGUGAUGGGCUCACAACAGCUCAGCCUUCUUGACACAUGGAAACUUCCUUCAAUAUGACCUGGUGCUCAACCACAUUCUGGGACAAUAGACGCCAGGACCUUUCCCAAAGCACAACCUCUUUAGUCUCUCAGCCAUCCUUUGGUCUUCACUAAGGAAAUACCAAUGGUACCUGGCUGUCUUGGAGGCUGACCACAGCUGCCCUAUGUUUCCCUACUCUACUCGUCAAGAGCACACAUCAGAAACUUGUCUUCUACCAUGAGCCAGUAUUGAAGUCAACACUCUGUCAGCAGUGUAGCCACAGAGAUUAACCUCCCUAUUGUCAGCCAAAGGUGUUACUCUGCUCAUUCUAGGAGGUGUCCCUUGACUGCAUGCAUGCCAGGAAACCUGCAAGCUCCUCCCCGAGUAGGGCCUUGCAAAGAGCCUACUGGCUGUCAGCCCCAUGGUCAUCAUCAGGGCUUCUAUCUGAUAUAUAUGAUCUUUCCAGCUGGGCCAAAGGGAAGUACCAGGAAUCCCUCUGUAGAAGCUCAGUAGGGGAGGACAUGAUAUCAAGUGGGGAUGGAGUAAGGAGGCUGUGGAGACAAACACAAAUGACAGAGCUGUUGAAGCCUUGAUCAGGCAAGAGGAGGAGAAUGAGAUGGCUCCUGGAUUCCCUUCACCUUACCGGGCACACCUUAUGGCUCCAUCUUGUCCCCAGGAGUAGAUUUAAAAGGCAGCAGCAGCCCUCAUUUUCCCUUUGGUAUAAGCUGGGCUUCUACUGGGAACAGGCUGGCUCCUCUUCAUGGACCUGUGCCCUCCAACUCUGCUCUACAGGGGAAGUGUUGGCCCUGUUCCUGCUAGUUGAAGGCCCUUGCCCCUAGCCAGUGCAUGCAUCCCUUUUUCCUUAUCUUAAUGACUAGAAUUUUCCCUCAGACUGUCUUCCUUCUGGCUACACUGUGCUUGAUGCCUUUCUCUCCCCUUCCCCCUUCUCUCUUUCACAUUGUCCCACUUCCCCUUCCCCUUUUUCUCAUUGCCACUCUUCCUCCUCCUGGGCAUACAGUUUCUGUACUUCUGUUCAACUCAUCAGAGAUACUGUUGGUGUAGAAGAGGGGACUAGUAAAGACUCUGAACUCUGUGGGACACUCAGUUCUGUGUGAGUGUUCAGUCAUACACAUAGAACCUUGGAGGGUUGGCCUUUCUUAAGGUGGAAGCCAUGUGGACCAUAUCUCUUUUCAGAACUUGAUGCUUGGUUCACAGUGAACUGAAGGAGGGUGGGGUUAUUAUCUCAAACCUUCCCAUUAGAGGAGGGAGAAUAGGAGCUUGUAUCAUGUUUUCUUGUUGGUGUGUGUGGUUGACAGUUGUUUGGGCGCACUGCCUUAUGAGUUCUAGACUUGUGUUCCUCCUGUGGUUCUCAGUCUGUACCAGAUAGAAACUAGCUCCAAUGUUUAACAAGUGGAUAUGUGAGUUUGUUCUUCAGUCCUUGAAAGAAGAUGAAAAGUGCAGUCAGUGAUUGUGACAGAGACCAGACUAAACUCAGUACCAACCUAGCUCCACUGUACCAUGGCUCGCUCUCUGAUUUCACCCUUUUGAAUUCAUGCCCCUCAUACCAAACUCUCCUCCCUCCUUCACAGACUUAGGGCACAACUGCUGUCUGUUUCUGGCUCAACUUUCCCAGAUAAGAGGAUCUGCGGGACAUCUUAAAGGUUCAUAUUCUAUAAAUGGAUGCAGUCUGCCAAUGGCGGGAUAGAUUUAAAAAGCAAAGGGAAUACAACACAGAAGUAAAUCUUGGUGGCCAUGCCUACCAGGUUUCCUGUGGGACUCAAUUUUUUCUUUUUUUUUUGUAGCACCUCCCCCGGGGUGUGGCCAUCUUUUCUUUGGGGUAAGAAGGCAACAACAUAAAGUGCGAAACAGGUGAAGAGUCAACCCCCAUACCCACUUCUAACCCUUCAGAUGAUUUUUGAGUAUGGGUCCACCCUAGGGCUGGUUACUGCUGCUGAUAGGAUCAGAUGAUAGCAGGCAAGCUGUCCCCUGUGCAACCUGCCCGUGUUCCUUUAUUUUUCAACAACUUCUUGCAGUAUUCUAGAUGAGAUGGUGGUAGGAAGGGCAGGCUCACUCCUCUUCCUCAUGGGGAGAGGGAGAUUAGAAGAACCUGCAGGGCUUAUGUUUGAAUGGAUUUUCGCAAGUUUCCAUAUUUGCUGAUAGAGGUACCCAAUAUUGAAUUGAUGGUAGAUCAUAUUGUAAGUUGCCAUGAUAUCAUUAUGCCUUUUCUUCCCUACAGAUUCUUUAAUUUCUUGAACCUUGUAGACAAAGCAGUAACAUAGUAUCCACAGUCUUGGCGACUAGGAUUCUGCAGACUAUUUUCUGGAGGCUCACAGCGAGGCUUCAUCACCGUGAGACAGUCAUGGGUGUCUCAUGGGUGUCUCGUGUUUGAUGGUUACCUUGGACCCAGGCUCUAUAAUGCAUAGGUAUGAAAUUAAUUUUUCUGAGGUUUUUGGUAGGUUUCAUAGACUCAUAUAUUUGUGGCUGUGACCAGCUGGUGCAGAUCUGAAGAGGUUUGAAGUCUUGUAUGGUGUGGGCCCAGUGACUGUAGUGUAAAUCAGAGUGAUUAUGGUAUCUACAUGUCUAUGGCAAGUUCAUGACAGUCUCCAGCAUCUCUGUUGUUUUUGUCUACAUUCAAGAACACACUGUCUGCUUUUGCGUCAUAUGAGCAAUGUUUCUUUCAUGGAAGUUCUGAACUGCAGGUGUCACGGCCUCUCCCCUCUACAUACAGCCACAUGCCUCUGUGAUGUUGACCAUAACUCCCCUUGCCAUGAAUUCCAUGAUCAAAUCUAUCUUUUUUGGCUUGUCGAAUGGCUGGAAGAUUUCACAGUGCUGGGGUUUAGGACUGCUCUAUUAAUGCUUGAAGGCCUUGUCCAAGAUCUUCACAGCUACUCUGGUAUUGGUGGGUACAUGGAAUGCUGCUUAACCUUUGAAAAUAAGCAGCGGACCAGGGUCAUUAAGACAUAAUAAAUUUAGAGGAUGUCCUCAUCAAAGGGGCUGUUUUCAAGCUUUUCUCCUUUGUUACCUUUACAAAUGGAAAAUGGCACCAUUACACAAUGCUUUAAAAAAUUAGAGCAAAUCUAAGAGGGAAGUUUAUGGCCAUAAAUUCCCAUCUCUUAAAAUCCCAGAUACCUCAAACAACCUAAUGAUGCUCUUCAAGGUUGUAGACAAGAGCAACUGAGACCCCAAAGCAGCUGAUGAUGAAGCAUAAAGAAGAUGAGAGCUGGGGUUGAGUAGGCACCAAAGUGACAAAGAACCAAAGAAACAGAAGUUUAUUUGAAAGGAUCAAGAAAACUGACACCCACCCCCCCCCACUUAGCUCAACUAACAACAAAGGUACUAAUAAAGACAAAAAUUGUUAUCCAAAUAAAUAAAAAUCCAGAAGAUAUCCAGAGGACAAUUAAGCAAACUUAUAUUACAGAGAGAUGACAAUCCUGAAAGAAAAAUAAUUUAAAAUGCUUCAAGACAUCAAUAUACAGAACACAAUUGAAAUAAAGUAUCUCCUAACCAAGCAUAGCUAGAGGCCAGUGAUUCACUGGUGCUUUGUCCACCAUUGAAGAGCAAAGCCCAGUGCUCCUGAAACUAGUCCAUGAAAUAGAAACGGAAGGAAUGCCACUAAAUUGAAGACAGCAUUAUGGUUGUUCCAAAACCCAGACACAAGGCAAAGUGUAACCCAGUUUCCUAGAUGAACAUACACAUAGAAAUCCGUAAUGAGAGUACCAAGUUCACCAGCACAUUAAAAAGCUGAUGCUUCAUGAUCAAGGUGAAUUCAGCAAGGAAUGCUAGAAAUUCCACAUAAACUCAUGUCCAGGCAGGCUCAAAGGAAGACCCCUGUGCUCAGCCACCAAAAGCAGGAUGCUAUCAUUUUCUGGUACAUAGAUGGAUAUUAGCUUAUUUGUAAUACGACAUGGAUGGGUGGAUGAUGGGGCCUUAAUGUAAAGAGAAUUUUAGCCACAUGUUGGAAUCUGGUAAAAAAUUCACAAGGCGGGGGGGAGGGGAUGAUAAAAUUUAAUAUGUG
This is a long non-coding RNA of Mastomys coucha (southern multimammate mouse), 5576 nucleotides long. RefSeq lists it as uncharacterized. The record is from RefSeq and is a predicted model, not a curated record. The transcript has 4 exons. Lineage: Eukaryota; Metazoa; Chordata; Mammalia; Rodentia; Muridae.